RNAcentral lists this ribosomal RNA (365 nucleotides) under uncultured bacterium. RNAcentral describes it as "bacterial SSU rRNA". It matches the Rfam family "Bacterial small subunit ribosomal RNA", at positions 32 to 369 of the family's 1533-position model. The record is from RNAcentral.
AAUCAACGCUGGCGGCGUGCCUCAGACAUGCAAGUCGAACGCGAAAUUUCCCUUCGGGGGAGAAAGUAGAGUGGCGCACGGGUGAGUAACACGUAGGUAAUUUGCCUUUGGGUGGGGAAUAACUCAGGGAAACUUGAGCUAAUACCGCAUAAUGCAGCGGCUCGACAUCGAGACAGUUGUUAAAGCGGGGGAUUGGAGCAAUCCGACCUCGCGCCUAAAGAGAAGCCUGCGGCAGAUUAGCUAGUUGGUAAGGUAAUGGCUUACCAAGGCGACGAUCUGUAACCGGCCUGAGAGGGCGGUCGGUCACACUGACACUGACAUACGGGUCAGACUCCUACGGGAGGCAGCAGUCGGGAAUUUUGGGC